CAAGGAGGCGGUCCCCUGCAAGAACACCCACUCCUAAAUUUCUUCAAGUUGCCUCGGCAGUUGACAGGUUACGUCACACACCAUUAGGUCACACUGCAAUAGGGAGAUCCGAGCAGUCGGUUACGAGACAGGUGCUGUGAACACCACUGUGAAAAGACUAUGGACCAAAAGGACAGGCCACAAAUAUAUGCAAAUGCGGAUUAUGGAUUAAAACGAUCUCCGCCCGUUGCCGUAGGUAUUAUGAGACCGAGAGCGGAAGCGCCGGACGCUCCAAGACCGAGACCGGAAGCGCCGUACGCUCCAGGACCGAGACCGGAAGAGCCGGACGCUCCAAGACCGAAAUCUCCGAAAAUUGUGAAAGCAUGAAAUGAGAUACACUUUACUUUCUGCUUCAAGCCUCGGAUCGCCACCUCAUCGGAACUGAAGGGCUUUGUGGCAACUGUAUAACUGUUAGAAUUACAAAAUGUAAUACCCCCUGUGGAUUUAGACCAAGGCAGUUGUAUGUUAGUACUGAUUAGUUUACUGCCAGCGUUUCUAACUUGUGACUAUUCGCCCGUUGGACGUGUCUCACGCUGUGUUCAACUUUUAUCUGCUUACGUCAAGCCUUCAUGCUUUAGCUUGGUUUAUUUUUAGUGUUAAUGAAUCCUUAAACAGACAGACAUAAAUAUAUUUUAUUUAGUAAUUUUGGCACCAAGGCCCAAAGUACAAUGCAGUUUGCAUAUCAACAUUUGUCAUGAUGUACAUUAAUAGAUUUUAAAGUUACACAUUUUUAAUUAUAAAGGCUUGUUUUAAAACUACAUCAACAGCAUGGAUCAUAUCCUCAUAUUAACUGUUAACUGACGGUCUUUAAAAAAUAUCCUGCUACAAGGGGGAAAUGCAUACCAUAAACGAGUAUAUUUUUCACAUAUAAGUAAAACAUGGUUUUCAUCCUCUUCGCCUCCUUGUAAACAAUUUGUACAAACAGAAUAAAAUAUCACCGUCUGUGAACCUGCGUCAUAUACUCAACUCCAAAAGAAAAGAGAUGUUCGAUGGGUGAUAUCAUUAAACAGAAAUGAUGUAAAAUUAUAAAAUAACUACACUUUUAAAAAGACGACGUUACAUUUUAUUUUACAUGGUAACAUUCCCCAACACGCGACUUGCGAUAAUUGCACGCACGUCUCUGAAAAAUAGAUAAAACGUGUAACACUCCUUAUUACCAGAAGGUUUGAGAAGAUUGAAAUUGAUUCAUCGGACACCUUGGUAUCUUAUCUCAAACAUUAGCUGUUCGUUUUGUAGUUUGAUUUUAAGUUUGACAUAAAAACACCCUGUCCCGUUUAACUCUUGAAAACUGGACGAGGGCAGUCUUACUCAGAAUGUUUUUUUUAUCAAGGUUACAACAUUCAAGGCCUCAGUAAUUUUUUUAUGUCGAGGAUAUUUCCAAAUUUGACGCAUCUGUGACAAAAAUCAUGUCCGAUUCAAUUCCCUAUUUUGACUUGUACUACAUGUUCCCUUAUUUAUUUAGGUGAACAAUUGACUUGCCCUUGCAUGUAUUUGUGCCGGGUGCCACCUGUGGAGCAGGAUACGCUCACCCUUUGACAAAACUAGGUAUCAUCACAAUUUGAUAGUGAUUCAUAUACAUGUAGUUGGAAUUGUAUACUCGACUCUGCUUUGUCUAGAGAUUUCUAUUGGAUAUGGAAAGGGUUUUGUCGCUUUAUUUACUGAAGCUGGAUGGGACAUGCCACGACUUGGCAGACAUAUUGAUGUCCAUCAUUCCACAACGUACAUGCUUCAGGAACAUCACCAGUUGACCAACAGUGCAGAUUAUCGUCCACCACGUGGGGCGACAGCAUGUGACGCUGGAUAGAGAAGAUCAGUUGAUGGGCACGUCACAUCUACGCGAUAGAGUCCCACGUACAACCACAACUUCUCAAAUGACGUAUGGGACUCAAUAGACCAAUCAGCGGCCAUACCCGUUACUGAAUAUGAUUCAUUUAGACUAUGUUUUCAAAUGUUGCAAAUUUUGACUUGUUUCUGUUAAAAAAAUCAUUUUUAUAGCAUGUAACUUUCACCCCUUCAAAUUCGCGUUUCUGUUAAAGUUGAUUUUACAUUUACCUUAACAUCGUGCAAGGAAAUUCCCAAUUUACAAUAAGCUCUGAUAAAACUUUUAUCUUUUAAACCAAUUAAAAUAUAUUUCAGUUUGUAAGAAUGAUUUUACUUGGCAGUCAUUGCUGAGAUGAAGUGAUAGAGAAAUCAAGGGCAUGUAUUUGUAGUUCGCGAGAACCACAAGGCUAGGCCCAGGGGUUGGUGUUCACCGAAAUGCGAGCCCUGGCGAUACAGAGGAUGGCAACUGUCCGGAAUUUAGAGAGCAAUUUGGGGACUCUUUCCAUGCCCUCUGAUGCAUUACGUCAGAAAUGAAAUGAAGUGUACAUAAAAUCACUGACACACCUUUCACUGUCAGCCCUCGUUUCGCCACGCCUAUCGUGAAGACCAUGGGAAAUAAGAUUACACAGCCUCCAGACUUGGCCUCCAUGUUAUUUUUUAAAUCACACAUUUUAGAUUUAAGAGUUUCAUUUUGCUCCUCUAAUUCUGUUAACCUGCGAUUGUAGUCAAACGUAAACGUCUCGAACUUGUCAUUGAGCGAUGUGAUCUGAGCCUGAAUCGAUCUUAGCGUUAUAGAGAUCAGAGAGGGUGAUGGGUGGACUGUCACAACACACUGGCCAGAUUCGUUUUGAGGGAUAGUCAGGUCUGAAUACGAUCUCCCGAUGUUGUAGCUGAUGUAGGUGGUCCGGGAUUAGGACUCUAUAUUGCCCGCGUUUAGCAUCAAAGUUAGUGACAGUAAACUUAAGCGGGGACUUGGACGGGGGUUGGGGGGGUCAAAUA
Molecule: long non-coding RNA, 2859 nt
Filed under: Haliotis rufescens (red abalone)
Lineage: Eukaryota; Metazoa; Mollusca; Gastropoda; Lepetellida; Haliotidae
Description: uncharacterized LOC125381023
Source: RNAcentral